GCAGUGGUGGUUCAGUGGUAAAAUUCUUGCCUUCUAUGCAGGAGAACCCGGUUUGACUUCUGGCCAAUACA
This 71-nucleotide transfer RNA is filed under the name Loxodonta africana (African savanna elephant). It matches the Rfam family "tRNA". From Rfam's summary of the family: Transfer RNA (tRNA) molecules are approximately 80 nucleotides in length. Their secondary structure includes four short double-helical elements and three loops (D, anti-codon, and T loops). The record is from Rfam by way of RNAcentral. Lineage: Eukaryota; Metazoa; Chordata; Mammalia; Proboscidea; Elephantidae.